AUUGAACGCUGGCGGCAUGCUUUACACAUGCAAGUCGAACGGUAACAGGCCUUCGGGUGCUGACGAGUGGCGAACGGGUGAGUAAUGCAUCGGAACGUGCCCAGAGGUGAGGGAUAACGCAGCGAAAGCUGUGCUAAUACCGCAUGUGAUCUGAGGAUGAAAGCGGGGGACCAAGCAGCAAUGUUUGGCCUCGCGCCUCUGGAGCGGCCGAUGUCAGAUUAGGUAGUUGGUGGGGUAAAGGCCUACCAAGCCGACGAUCUGUAGCUGGUCUGAGAGGACGACCAGCCACACUGGGACUGAGACACGGCCCAGACUCCUACGGGAGGCAGCAGUGGGGAAUUUUGGACAAUGGGCGCAAGCCUGAUCCAGCAAUGCCGCGUGCGGGAAGAAGGCCUUCGGGUUGUAAACCGCUUUUGUACGGAACGAAAAGGCUCUGGCUAAUACCUGGGGCUGAUGACGGUACCGUAAGAGUAAGCACCGGCUAACUACGUG
Molecule: ribosomal RNA, 492 nt
Filed under: uncultured bacterium
Lineage: Bacteria
Description: partial 16S ribosomal RNA
Rfam family: Bacterial small subunit ribosomal RNA
Source: RNAcentral